RNAcentral lists this ribosomal RNA (612 nucleotides) under uncultured bacterium. RNAcentral's name for it is "bacterial SSU rRNA". It matches the Rfam family "Bacterial small subunit ribosomal RNA", at positions 796 to 1409 of the family's 1533-position model. The record is from RNAcentral.
CUAGCCCUAAACCAUCAGGACUUGGGGUUUGCCCUGUACGGGGCAAGUCCCGUAGCUAACGCGUUAAGUCCUGCGCCUGGGGAGUACGGUCGCAAGACUGAAACUCAAAGGAAUUGACGGGGGCCCGCACAAGCGGUGGAACAUGUGGUUCAAUUCGACGCAACGCGAAGAACCUUACCUGGGCUUGAACCGCACAGGACCAUCUUUGGAAACAGAGACUUCCCGCAAGGGACCUGUGUAGAGGUGCUGCAUGGCUGUCGUCAGCUCGUGCCGUGAGGUGUUGGGUUAAGUCCCGCAACGAGCGCAACCCUUACUCUUAGUUGCCACCCGCAAGGGGGAACUCUAAGAGGACUGCUCCGGAUAACGGAGAGGAAGGUGGGGAUGAGGUCAAGUCAGCAUGGCCUUUAUGUCCAGGGCAACACACGUGUUACAAUGCGCGCCACAAAGCGUUGCAAACCCGUGAGGGGGAGCUAAUCGCAAAAAAGCGCGCUCAGUUCGGAUUGCAGUCUGCAACUCGACUGCAUGAAGCCGGAAUCGCUAGUAAUGGCGCAUCAGAACGGCGCCGUGAAUACGUUCCCGGGCCUUGUACUCACUGCCAGUCAGACCGGCCAC